AAAUAAUACAAAGAAUUCGAUCUCUCUUUAAAUUCUCUCUCUUGCCCUUUCCUCUUCCUGUGCAUCUCUUUUUGUCUCUUCUCCUUCUUCCUUUCUUCCCCUCUUUCUUCUAUUUCCUUCCCCCUUUCCUCUGUUUUCUGUUUGGGUUGCGGCUCUGCCACAACAAUUGGUGUCAGAUCAACAAGAUCCAACGAUCGCAGAGUUUGCGAAUUUGAAGUUGGCGAAGAAAAAGCAAAACAUGGAGGACCCUAGGAUCCAGAUUCUUGCGGACCACUUGCAAUCUUUGGAGCAGAGGUUUCAAGAUGUGAAACAAGAAAUGCGUAAUCUCAAUCAGGAAAUGCAUUUCAAGUUUGAGAGUUGUACAAAGAGGUUGGAGGACUUGAUAAUGGAGAAGAACCGAAAAAGUCGAGAAGAAUUGAAUUGCAAAUUUGAUCAAUUGUUGGAGAUGACUGGAGCUUCGCAGUCGAGGAGAAAGGAACCUGUGCUUCCAACUGUUCCUCAGGUAAUCUUGGAACCCAAUUCGAAUGUGAAUGGAACUAUCGAUAUUUUGCCUUUGCCAAAUUCUGGGGUUAGAGAAGCUGGGGAUUCAAGAAGCUACUAAUAUUGAUUCUGGAUUCAUGGACGUUGAUGAACAGAAUCUUGAAAAAAAAAUUAAUAUAAUUUUUGCCCUUAAAUCUGAUGAAAUUGUUGAGAAUAAUUAUGGAGUGUUGGAUAAAUUUGAUUUUACUCCGAGAAAAUUUACAUCAGAAUUAUUUUCUUGUUGACGAGCUUGUUCUUAAUAAGGGAAGAAAUGAACCUGUCAAAGGAAGUUGUGAAAGAACCCAUCAGUCUUGUGGCGGAUGUGAUUUGGAAUUGCAAUUGAAUGAUCAUUGGGUUUGAAAUGUGGAGAAGGCGAAGGAAGAAGAUGAAUCUUGUCAAUGUAGGACCUCUGCCAUGAGGGUGUUUGAAAAAUGACUAGGUUGCCUUUCUUGAAGUUGCAGUGUUCAGAUUCAGCAAUUAUGAAAAAAGAGGAAAUGAUGGAGUAGCAGACUGCGAAUUUUGUUUUUCAAUCUCAGUUUAUUCUUGAGGACAAAGGAUGAUCUUCGUGGGGAGGGUAAUGUUAGCAUUGUUGUAGUUGUGCUAGUAUAAAUAUAGAAAUUGAGUUGUAAUUUCGAUAUCAAUCAAAUAAUACAAAGAAUUCAAUCUCUCUCUUAAUUCUCUCUAUUUCCCUCUCCCUCUUUAUCUCGCUGUCUCUUCUUCUUCUUCUUCGUGUUCUUGAGAUGUACAGAGACAAAGGGCAGUGGAGAAGCAAUUAAUAUAUAGUGCAAAGUGAGAUUUUUCCUUUAAAGAAAAAAUAUUUCUUUUUCUCUUCUUUUAAUGAGA
RNAcentral lists this unclassified non-coding RNA (1362 nucleotides) under Hevea brasiliensis (rubber tree). Lineage: Eukaryota; Viridiplantae; Streptophyta; Magnoliopsida; Malpighiales; Euphorbiaceae. The record is from RNAcentral.